UACUCUGAUUCAGUUUCUGGACCACAUAGUCUUCAGAUUUCUUUCCUAUCCUGCAUCCCACAUAAGUUUGAUACAUCUUACUAGAAGAAAGGUAGACACUGGAACCAUGAAAGACUUGAAGGAAUACAGUGACAUGAGAAACAACCAGGUUUUCCAGUCCUUACUAAUGGUUCCCCUAGAAGAGGACAGACCACAUCCAAUCCAUCAAUAUAAGGAAACUUUCAGGUGCAACAUCGGAUUGUAUCAAGGGUGGGGCAAUAUAGGACAGAAGUCAGAAACGGAAAUGCAGUGCUGGCUAACUCAGUAUCUCCUGGAAGCUGCAACAGAAAUUCUCCCACUGUCCAGAAGAAGGGAUGUGAGGUGGGAGUGGAACUGCGUGGUUUGGAAUGACACUGGAGGCAGUGACCUGAUAAGCCUUAUGUAGGAGAGAAAUAACACAGACUGUGAGCUGCAACAGUAGCUUACUCUGACUUUGCACAAAUUAUUGAAUCUCAUUCUUUUUCUGACUUGUCAUGACGUCCAAGAAGAGUCUUACCUUCUUUAUUUUUGAAAAUAAUUUUCCUAUCUCCUGGGCAAUUGCUGAAGAGCCUGCCAUUGAUACUUUGAGAACUGUGUAGCAUAAUGUAUGUAUUGUAGACCUCCUUUUUAUUUACUGUCUGUUAUUCCAAAUUCAAAACAGAAUUAACUCAAAAUAAAC
This is a long non-coding RNA of Numida meleagris (helmeted guineafowl), 697 nucleotides long. The record is from Ensembl. Lineage: Eukaryota; Metazoa; Chordata; Aves; Galliformes; Numididae.